CAGCCGCCACGGUAAUACGUAGGUGGCAAGCGUUGUCCGGAAUUAUUGGGCGUAAAGCGCGCGCAGGUGGUUUAAUAAGUCUGAUGUGAAAGCCCACGGCUCAACCGUGGAGGGUCAUUGGAAACUGUUAAACUUGAGUGCAGGAGAGAAAAGUGGAAUUCCUAGUGUAGCGGUGAAAUGCGUAGAGAUUAGGAGGAACACCAGUGGCGAAGGCGGCAUUUUGGCCUGUAACUGACACUGAGGCGCGAAAGCGUGGGGAGCAAACAGGAUUAGAUACCCGAGUAGUCCCUGUCUCUUAUAC
Molecule: ribosomal RNA, 301 nt
Filed under: uncultured bacterium
Lineage: Bacteria
Description: partial 16S ribosomal RNA
Rfam family: Bacterial small subunit ribosomal RNA
Source: RNAcentral